CCUACGGGAGGCAGCAGUGGGGAAUUUUGGACAAUGGGGGCAACCCUGAUCCAGCAACGCCGCGUGAAUGAAGAAGGCCUUAGGGUUGUAAAGUUCUUUUGUCUGGGAGCAAAAGUUAUGGGGUAAUAUACCAUGAUUAUGAGAGUACCAGAAGAAUAAGCACCGGCUAACUACGUGCCA
RNAcentral lists this ribosomal RNA (180 nucleotides) under uncultured bacterium. RNAcentral's name for it is "partial 16S ribosomal RNA". It matches the Rfam family "Bacterial small subunit ribosomal RNA", at positions 338 to 510 of the family's 1533-position model. The record is from RNAcentral.